Molecule: ribosomal RNA, 253 nt
Filed under: uncultured bacterium
Lineage: Bacteria
Description: partial 16S ribosomal RNA
Rfam family: Bacterial small subunit ribosomal RNA
Source: RNAcentral
GACAGAGGGUGCAAACGUUGUCCGGAAUCAUUGGGCGUAAAGAGCGUGUAGGCGGCCAGGUAGGUCGGUUGUGAAAACUAGAGGCUCAACCUCUAGACGUCGACCGAAACCAUCUGGCUAGAGUCCGGAAGAGGAGAGUGGAAUUCCUGGUGUAGCGGUGAAAUGCGCAGAUAUCAGGAAGAACACCCGUGGCGAAGGCGGCUCUCUGGGACGGUACUGACGCUGAGACGCGAAAGCGUGGGGAGCGAACAGG